RNAcentral lists this unclassified non-coding RNA (346 nucleotides) under soil metagenome. RNAcentral describes it as "partial contains 5.8S ribosomal RNA, internal transcribed spacer 2, and large subunit ribosomal RNA". The stretch from base 1 to 119 matches the Rfam family "5.8S ribosomal RNA", at positions 35 to 154 of the family's 154-position model. The record is from RNAcentral.
GAUGAAGAACGUAGCGAAAUGCGAUACGUAAUGUGAAUUGCAAAUUCAGUGAAUCAUCGAGUCUUUGAACGCACAUUGCGCCCCCUGGUAUUCCGGGGGGCAUGCCUGUCCGAGCGUCAUUGCUGCCCUCAAGCACGGCUUGUGUGUUGGGCCCCGUCCUCCGAUCCCGGGGGACGGGCCCGAAAGGCAGCGGCGGCACCGCGUCCGGUCCUCGAGCGUAUGGGGCUUUGUCACCCGCUCUGUAGGCCCGGCCGGCGCUUGCCGAUCAACCCAAAUUUUUAUCCAGGUUGACCUCGGAUCAGGUAGGGAUACCCGCUGAACUUAAGCAUAUCCAAUAAGCGGAGGA